UUGCAGAUCACUAACAGUUUCAUGGAGAAAGCAUUUAUACUAUGUCUGUUCCAACUCCUUCCAGAAUCUCCUGUCAUUUUUUGUCUCCCAAAUGACCAGGAUGCAAGAUGUAGUCAGCCCAAGGAACUGAAUAAAGAAACCAUCAACCCUCAUGGAUGAAAACUGGAAAAUACAUGCUAAGUUUACUGCGAGUUUUAACUAUGGAGACUGUGCCCAUCUCUUAAGAAUCACUAUGUGGUUUUUCCAUAUCAAGACUUCAGGAAGAAAAAAGAAAGACAAAUUUUAUUAUAAAAUAUUGAUAUCACUGGAGGACAAUUCAUAASACCACAGGAAUGAUUGGAUUCAGCAGUGAUGUGCUUCUACGUACACUUCAGAGAAGAGAAGAAAUAAAUCAUACAGGACAUAGCCA
RNAcentral lists this long non-coding RNA (409 nucleotides) under Urocitellus parryii (Arctic ground squirrel). RNAcentral describes it as "lncRNA (ENSUPAG00010023153.1)". The record is from RNAcentral. Lineage: Eukaryota; Metazoa; Chordata; Mammalia; Rodentia; Sciuridae.